AAGUCGAACGAACUCUGGUAUUGAUUGGUGCUUGCAUCAUGAUUUACAUUUGAGUGAGUGGCGAACUGGUGAGUAACACGUGGGAAACCUGCCCAGAAGCGGGGGAUAACACCUGGAAACAGAUGCUAAUACCGCAUAACAACUUGGACCGCAUGGUCCGAGUUUGAAAGAUGGCUUCGGCUAUCACUUUUGGAUGGUCCCGCGGCGUAUUAGCUAGAUGGUGGGGUAACGGCUCACCAUGGCAAUGAUACGUAGCCGACCUGAGAGGGUAAUCGGCCACAUUGGGACUGAGACACGGCCCAAACUCCUACGGGAGGCAGCAGUAGGGAAUCUUCCACAAUGGACGAAAGUCUGAUGGAGCAACGCCGCGUGAGUGAAGAAGGGUUUCGGCUCGUAAAACUCUGUUGUUAAAGAAGAACAUAUCUGAGAGUAACUGUUCAGGUAUUGACGGUAUUUAACCAGAAAGCCACGGCUAACUACGUGCCAGCAGCCGCGGUAAUACGUAGGUGGCAAGCGUUGUCCGGAUUUAUUGGGCGUAAAGCGAGCGCAGGCGGUUUUUUAAGUCUGAUGUGAAAGCCUUCGGCUCAACCGAAGAAGUGCAUCGGAAACUGGGAAACUUGAGUGCAGAAGAGGACAGUGGAACUCCAUGUGUAGCGGUGAAAUGCGUAGAUAUAUGGAAGAACACCAGUGGCGAAGGCGGCUGUCUGGUCUGUAACUGACGCUGAGGCUCGAAAGUAUGGGUAGCAAACAGGAUUAGAUACCCUGGUAGUCCAUACCGUAAACGAUGAAUGCUAAGUGUUGGAGGGUUUCCGCCCUUCAGUGCUGCAGCUAACGCAUUAAGCAUUCCGCCUGGGGAGUACGGCCGCAAGGCUGAAACUCAAAGGAAUUGACGGGGGCCCGCACAAGCGGUGGAGCAUGUGGUUUAAUUCGAAGCUACGCGAAGAACCUUACCAGGUCUUGACAUACUAUGCAAAUCUAAGAGAUUAGACGUUCCCUUCGGGGACAUGGAUACAGGUGGUGCAUGGUUGUCGUCAGCUCGUGUCGUGAGAUGUUGGGUUAAGUCCCGCAACGAGCGCAACCCUUAUUAUCAGUUGCCAGCAUUAAGUUGGGCACUCUGGUGAGACUGCCGGUGACAAACCGGAGGAAGGUGGGGAUGACGUCAAAUCAUCAUGCCCCUUAUGACCUGGGCUACACACGUGCUACAAUGGAUGGUACAACGAGUUGCGAACUCGCGAGAGUAAGCUAAUCUCUUAAAGCCAUUCUCAGUUCGGAUUGUAGGCUGCAACUCGCCUACAUGAAGUCGGAAUCGCUAGUAAUCGCGGAUCAGCAUGCCGCGGUGAAUACGUUCCCGGGCCUUGUACACACCGCCCGUCACACCAUGAGAGUUUGUAACACCCAAAGUCGGUGGGGUAACCUUUUAGGAACCAGCCGCCU
This 1434-nucleotide ribosomal RNA is filed under the name Lactiplantibacillus pentosus. RNAcentral describes it as "bacterial SSU rRNA". It matches the Rfam family "Bacterial small subunit ribosomal RNA". The record is from RNAcentral. Lineage: Bacteria; Bacillati; Bacillota; Bacilli; Lactobacillales; Lactobacillaceae. RNAcentral also lists the same sequence under 1 other name.